GGAUGUGAGGGCAAUCUGGCUGCGACAUCUGUCACCCCAUUGAUCACCAAGGUUGAUUCAGUUGAUCUGGCUGGCUAAGCGGGUGUCCCCUUCCUCCCUCAACGAUCCAUGUGCGUCCAUCCUGAAGCUGCACGCUCAGUCAAAGAGGAUGACCACCCCCGAUAGAGGAGGACCGUUCUUCAGUCAAGGGUAUAUGAGUAGCUGCGCUCCCCUGCUAGAACCUCCAAACAAGCUCUCAAGAAAAUGAAAAGAUAUUCCUUGCUCCUGGAUGAGAAGAACUAAUACUGUGAAAAUAGCCAUACUCCCAAAAUUGU
This 314-nucleotide small nuclear RNA is filed under the name Octodon degus (degu). RNAcentral describes it as "7SK RNA (ENSODEG00000022840.1)". It matches the Rfam family "7SK RNA". Rfam says of the family: 7SK was discovered as an abundant small nuclear RNA in the mid-70s but a possible function has only recently been suggested. Two independent studies have found that 7SK RNA binds the CDK9/cyclin T complex (known as elongation factor P-TEFb). Lineage: Eukaryota; Metazoa; Chordata; Mammalia; Rodentia; Octodontidae. The record is from Rfam by way of RNAcentral.